Molecule: ribosomal RNA, 253 nt
Filed under: uncultured bacterium
Lineage: Bacteria
Description: partial 16S ribosomal RNA
Rfam family: Bacterial small subunit ribosomal RNA
Source: RNAcentral
GACGUAGGGCGCGAGCGUUGUCCGGAUUUAUUGGGCGUAAAGAGCUCGUAGGCGGCUUGUCGCGUCGUUCGUGAAAACCUGUGGCUCAACUACAGGCUUGCGGUCGAUACGGGCAGGCUGGAGUUCGGUAGGGGAGACUGGAAUUCCUGGUGUAGCGGUGAAAUGCGCAGAUAUCAGGAGGAACACCGGUGGCGAAGGCGGGUCUCUGGGCCGAUACUGACGCUGAGGAGCGAAAGCGUGGGGAGUGAACAGG